AUUUAUCCACAGAGCAAAUGCUUUUCUGCUCCUCGAAGACAGAUCUGGAGAGUUGGAUGCAGGCAUUAUAGGCAAAGCAGCGGAGGAAUUAUUGGAAACUAAUGCCAAGGAAAUAAUGGACCAUUUCCAAAAGGUAAACACUAAAUACUAACAUCCUCUAGCAUUACUUUUUUCAAAGCACUAAAAUACAAUAGUAAAAUGCAUUUUAUCUAUCGCAGAACCCAAAUGGAGAGCUGAACAAUGUUAUGAAAACCAGUAGUGAAAAAGAGUUUCCAUUCUAUAUAAAAGUGACACAAAAAAGCAAAAUCCACCCAAAUACCGCUAUGAAAUCAUCUUCGUCUUUAACUCUCUACCCACCAUCACAAAUGUGAAUUCCUCACCUGCAAUCAUUGAAAUAGAUCCUUCAACUUCUAUAAGUGAUGUGAAGAAUUCAACUGAGAUGAACAAGAGUUCAGACAAGAAAAACACGAAAGGGAAAGAUAAAGUAUGCAACACUGACACUGAAGUUCUCAAUUACACCGAAGAAACGAUUGCAAUCUCUGCAAAGAGGCCUCUCUUCCAAGCACUAGAUGAAACUAUUGAAACAGACUCGAAGCCAAAAAAGAAGAGUAACACAGUGAUAUGAUCCAGGAGUCGAGCCUGACGAAAGCAAGUGCGAGACGAGAUCAAUUGAUAGUCGAUGGCGGAUCGAUGACGUGAUUGAAGACGAGACGAGUCAACGAGGUGAUGGGAUUGCUCGUCAAGGCAACGAUUGAAGGCACCAUGUUCAGGACUCAAAAUGGAGCAACUUUCAUAUUCGGGUCGAAGGUCAAAUCAACUUGAAUCAAUUUAAUAUCGAAGGCCGAAAUCGAAGGGAAAUUUUAAGCCUGUGCGGUCGCAUAGGUAUACACGCUCGCGGUCGCACAAUAUUCUACCGAAGCUCAAAGAAGGCAUUUUGUUUGAACUAUGCGACCGCAAGGAAUUGCAUGUUGCGGUCGCAUAAGCCAAUUUUUGGGUGAAUUUUCUAUUUUUGGUAUUUUUCCAUAUUUUGUUAGUUUUUUAUUCUUUUCCAUACUUUGAGAAUUAUGCUCGACUUUUGCACGAUUUUUACCCAGUUUUUAGGUUUAGUAUAAAUAGAAAUUUUCAUUCAAUUGUAAAGACGACUUUUGACAUAUUUGAUAUUGAAUUAAAGUGAGGCGUAUUGUCUUCUUUUCA
Molecule: long non-coding RNA, 1194 nt
Filed under: Olea europaea subsp. europaea
Lineage: Eukaryota; Viridiplantae; Streptophyta; Magnoliopsida; Lamiales; Oleaceae
Source: RNAcentral